GCGAGGGUAGCCAAGCCAGGUCAACGGCGUCAGGUUCAGGGCCUGAUCUCGAAGGAGUUCAUGGGUUCGAAUCCCACCCCUCGCA
Molecule: transfer RNA, 85 nt
Filed under: Methanoregulaceae archaeon
Lineage: Archaea; Methanobacteriati; Methanobacteriota; Methanomicrobia; Methanomicrobiales; Methanoregulaceae
Description: tRNA-Leu
Rfam family: tRNA
About the family: Transfer RNA (tRNA) molecules are approximately 80 nucleotides in length. Their secondary structure includes four short double-helical elements and three loops (D, anti-codon, and T loops).
Source: RNAcentral